Molecule: long non-coding RNA, 6619 nt
Organism: Daphnia magna
Lineage: Eukaryota; Metazoa; Arthropoda; Branchiopoda; Diplostraca; Daphniidae
Exons: 13
Source: RefSeq, a predicted model, not a curated record
UUCACACGUUUUAGGUCGUGAGUCGUCUCCAGACUCAUCUUCAAAUGAAUCCUUUGUUUCACACGUGGGUGGUUCCUGUCUUUCCCGGCAAAUGAGACAUCCGAGUGACGAAUUUCAGACUGGGAUCAACAAAAGACAAGAGUUGAAAGCUCGAGCAUGUGACUGCUCAAAUUGGCAUUGCCAUUCAGUGCAGCACUUAAAUCUAAAGUGGCUGUUGGCAUCUGAGUAGGUGACAUAAUCCUUCCGUUGGUUGCAUCUGGAUGCUUUUCAAUUCCCGACAGAUCGGGCAACAUCGUAGACGAGCCCUUGUACUACAAUCGGGAAUCAAUCACCAUUACAAUCAUCACCACUAUGAGCAGGUCGAAGCUGUUAUCAGCCGGGCGGCAAAGAGGAGUUGGGUUGCACAGACGAGACAGCAACAGACAUCCAACGUCAUGGCGAGCGAACAAAGUGCCAAACUGACUUCGUAAACGGAAUGAGCCUCGUCCGGCGAAACGAUGCGCACCUGGUCGAUGAAGUGGAUGGCGUCUGGUGGCGGACUCAUUUUGAGCAAAAAGAUGAGACCCAACAGGGCCAUCAUUAGAGACAAGAGGCAGAGCAGACCGAGCGAAGUUAACAUCUCGCGCACUCCGAUGACGCUGGCGGAAACCUGACGCGCUGCAGCUGCCAGCCUCGUAACGGACGUCGGUAGAGGACUUCCGCGCCGGAUGUGCAUUCCACCGUUAGCCGUACCGCCUUUAUUUAACCCUCUUCCACUGGAAAUGGUACCACACACACACACACCACCAUUCACAGAGGGUGAAAAAAAAAACAACAAAAAUCCAUAAAUUCUUACCCAUUGGACAGGAAGGUGUGGUCGCCAAUCGGGAGCGAGCGAUCCGUGAUGAAAAUGGAAGAGGACAGUGGGCCGUUGCUGAAAUUGAAAGCGCCCGUUCCAGGACUGAUGUUGCUCGUCGUCGGACUCAGCGAAUGCUUGGACGUGUUGUGCAUGGAGAUAUUGUGCAUUUGCGGCUGUUGUUUAGUGCUGCUCGAUCCGGCUGUGGAGUAACGUCCUGGCGAAGUGUAGCCGUUAGCCAAAUGAUGCUGAUGCGAUGGAUGAGGAGCCAUGACGUUGUUGUUUGUGAGGAGGCGGCGAGGAGGCGGUUCAAUUCGAUCCGACUGGCCCGAUUCUGAAAGUCCGUUGGAUGGAGUACGCAAAUGAUCGGUUGGUUGACGUGUACUUAGGUGUUUCAACAUGCCGGAUGAUUCGCUCCUACUACUAUUACAACUACCGGACGAGCUACUGCUUGAUCGAUCCAAGAAAAAGAAAAUACAAACAAAAGAAGAUGGAAAGGACGCAGCUACCAAAUCAAUCAAACAUUGAAGAUUGGAAGGAUGUACGCAAGCAUGUAUAGCUGGAACAAUAAAAAGAAAAACCUGUCUUUGGUUUCUUCCCUUAAGCUCCACCUGGCUAACAUAAUGAACUCCAUGGUCGGCAUGUUUUUUUCCCCAGAAAAAACACAUAUUGACUCUUUUGGUAGGGGAGAAAAAAAGAAGAUGAUGAUGAUGAUGGCGUGAAAGUGCUCGUUAAACGCUGCCUGUAAGUGGUCGAAUGCUCAGGUGAUGGGCUUAGACACUCGAAUGAAAGGCAAUAAAUUCCGCCCCGUGGGAUGGUAUCGGAGGAACCCCCCUGAAAGCCCUAGAGUUCCCCACGGGCUUUUUUCUACCUGGAUUUUUGCCCCUCUCGAUGUCCCUGAUCUAUCGGAAUAAUUGUUGAUGGGUUUUCGGCGAAUGAAGAAAACAGGUUUUGGCUUCCAUGAUCUCUUAACGCCUUGUAUGCGUUGUUAUUUUUACGGUAAACCAGAGAGCUGCCGGAAGACUAGUGGGUCCGCGUGGAGUGAAAAGUAGACCACAAACAGGUAGAUGAAAAAAAUUGGAUGAAGGAGAAGAAAGAAAAAGCAUAAGAAAAAGAAGAAGAAGUAGGCGGUGUUGGCGAGAAGAAUUAGUUGACCGAUGGACCGGAGACAAUGCCCUGUGACACGUUGCCCGAAGCGGAGCCGGGUGUCCGAAUCAACAUAGAGAGCUGAGCGCCAUUUUGUUUUGGCCACUGACCUUUUUAUCAUCCGGCUACGAUGGUGGCUGCUGCCGCCCGCUGCUGGUAAUGCUGGUGGCGAAUGGUAUUUAUUUUCCCUUUUUUUUUUUUAUUCUUUUUAUUUGUUGAGAGAAGAAAAAGGGAAAAUAAAAGGUGAUGGGCCAAGCUCUUCUCCUUUCAACUCCUUUUUUUUUCUUUUCGUUCUUUAUUUUCGUUUUCAAUGCCAAGGGCCGAACUGAACAGUCAGGGCGGUUAAUCUCUAUGAACGAUCUUGGGACGAUCUGGCAGCGGGAGUACCAGUAAUAUAACAAGACGACGAAGCCAUGAAGUUAUGUUGAGCGCGGAUCACAGUCCGCCAACCGCUCCCGGAUCGGAUUGUUAUUCUACACUAACCGAUUGCCCGGGCUCCAGUAGGACCCUCGGCUUUGCUUGCUUCGCUUAAAUGAAAGGUGAUUCGCAGCAGUUUCAAAUGACCGCCCAGUCAGGAGAGGUAAGACCCUACCUCUUCUCCUUUUACCUUCCUUUCUUUCCACCCCCAAUCGCCGGGUUUCCUUUUUCUUUUUAUUAUUCCCCCCUCUGUGGCCGUUGUUUUUGUUGUCGAUCUGCUGGAAUGGCGGGAAAAAACGGACGCACACACACACACACAGGGCUAUUCGUUUGAUAACUUUGGCCUUAACACACACACACACACUAGGAAGAAUAAUCCGCGGUUUUCUACGGCAAAACAAUUCUCUCGAUGCUCAGCCACAGCAAACUUCUUUUUAUUUUUUUAUCUGGUUGAACUUUAGCUGGCCAGCAACCGUUGCCGCCUUCGUGUCCUUCAAGUGAAAGUGUGUCGCUGAAUCUCCGAAAACACGACACCGCUCCACGUUCCUUCCUUUUUUUUCUUUCUGUUGCUGCUGUCUUGAGCACUUUCCAACGGUUUGCAACAUGCAACGGGCCGCCACGGUACUUGAAAACACUAAAGGGGGUCUGUUCCUCAAUGCACAACAGAGCACGGGGCAAUCACGAAUCUCUUGUUUGUUGUUUUAGGUGCGCUUGUAAAUUACCUGGCGCAGGCUUGGGGGUUAGGAAACUUUUUUUGUUUGUUGCUGAAACUGAUGCGUGUGUAGUAAUCGUGGUUGCCGAUCGCAACUCACGUGAGAAAUGUUGCAACCGUCUCGUCCGGCUGGAACUUUCAAACUAAAAGUCUACUACGUAUGUCUCUUUGAACCGAUGAAAAAUAGGAAGAAAAAUGGGAAAAAUGAAAAUAAGAAAUCUCAUCCUCCUGGAGAGUUUGGUUACGCGCUGGCCCUGCGGCAAGGGCGACUGCGACUUGGCAACUCCAAAUCAGAAGAAAUAUUCAACCGAAAAGAAAAAAUAAAUAAAUAUCGUUAACAAAUUCAUAAGAAAAAAGAAAGAGUCAAACGCAUGUGUAUGUGGCUUGUCUGCGUGCCUUCCGCAAAGGUCCAACUGCUUUUUCCAUAAAUGUUAACCGCUGCUUAUUUUGCUCGUUGUCUGAGUAGACAAAUAACGAAUCGCUUUAUCGUGGCUGUAAUCUAAAAUUCAAUGUAGUUGAGCUGCCGUUGGUGCUACAUUGCUGCAUUAACAUAUUCUAGAUGCCAUUUUUACACGUGUAAUGUAUGUUUCGGCUCGAUCUCUGCCAUUCGACACCAAUCAUAAAUUAAUCUGGGAGGAGAAACAAGGAGUUGGGAGUAACAUUUAGAAAAGGAUGCUGUGUUUUAACGAGCGUGGAACGCGGUGAAUCAGUAGCCGGCCACCGUAUGAGAGGGAAGCAAAGGUCCACGAAUCGGCGCUGGACCAGGCCACCGAGUAGACGGAAUCUUCAUGCUCUUCGUAUGCGGUAAUCACACCGUCCGCCAGAGGACUCCGAACAUCCUCAUCUGAAAAGUUUACUCGUGGUAUUUAUUAGUUACUUUUCUUGUUUUUGUUUUUAAGGUUUGUUUUACUAAAAUUAGCAUAUUGUAUGUAAAAUAAGUCACCAUCAUCAUUAUCCUUAUCGUCUGACAUAAGUUUUCCAAAGGGCUCGGAUGACAAGGACGCGGCUGAUGUCAAAACCACUCGUGCAUCGCUUCCUGCAGAUAGCACCAAUUGAUCGUGGAAUACGUUAUAGCGUACUUGCCAUACCCUGCCGUAAAAGAGCAAAUAACGUAUCUUUCUUUUGAAUUUCUUUAACAUUUGUCAUCCCAAAGUGGGCCAUCUCCGUGAACCUACCAGUGAUAAUGAUCGUGCCUGUUGAGGACGGGACUGCUAAGGUUACGUACAUCCCAGAACUUAACACAUCCAUCAUCACCGCAUGUGGCCAUGUAAUAUUGGCGAUUAGGAUUGAAAUCUAAAUCUCUAAUAGGUUCAAUGUGAGCGUUUUCUAUGUUGUAAAUAGAUCCUUUGUUGACUGAACGAAGGUCGACCACUUGAAGAUUCGUCUCCAUGGCUACCGCUACCUGAUUGGUACCAUGAUGCGGAGACCAAUUGGCAGCUGUUACUUGGUUAUGAGUCUUGCACAGUGGCUCCGAAAAUAUUGCAUUCUAAUGGUUGAAAUAGAGUUUACAACAAUGAGUUUUUUAGUGUGAUUUAAAACUGUUUUACCUGCACUUUCCCGUCAUUACUGAAAUCCCACAAAUUUAUUUGACUGUCUGUACUGACUGUCACUACUUUAUUACCAUCAUUUGGUUGCCAUAGAACUUUUGCUACCUCUUUUUCAUCGCUGCUUUCCAAACUUGCUAUGGCUUUGAGCUGGCCAUGAGAUGUUGGGUCCAGGGUAUCGAUAGACUGUCCAUUGCUGGGCACAGGACUCAUCUUGUAAAUGGUAGCUGACAUUUUUUGAUUUUGACCUUCUUUAAAUCAGUAAAAUUAAAUACUGAAAAGUUGUGUGGCUAUCCAGAAAAGUGGAAAACCAUUGUAAGUUGGCUAUAUGUACUGUGAACCGUGCUGAUUAUAUCUGCUUGGUUAGGAUGGGCAUUUGUUUGCCAUAUCUCUCCAAGUGGGUGAGGGUAAACAAAUUUGCUCACCAAAACAGAUUCUUCAUCAUAUUCAACACAAUGGAUUGAAUUUUCUGAUUUCAGAGACUGCGUUCCAAUCAGAAAACGAACCAUUUCAGUUUCUCCAUAUUGGGCGCAUAACGACCUAGCCUAGAACAAAAAUUAGUUCAUUCGUUGUUUGCUAAACUUCGUUUAGUAAAAAAUACCUGAAAAUCAAGGCCAUAAAUGAUUGGUGCUUCUUCUUCCAUCCGAUUGUAUUCGUGUUAAAGGCUUAAAUUGUGACACAACUGAAACGACUGCUACUAUCAAGUAAACACGGCGCCUAACGCCAUCUCUAGUUGCACCAAAUAGUUUUUUAUAUAGCCUUUUCAAAGAAUCCCAAAGAGUGACAGAAUAAAUUAAUUCCCUCUUAGUUUACCACGGGGGUCAAUAGGACCCCUAUUCUACUACCUUUUUCUGACUUGAUCUUGUAAACGGCUUUAUGGGUCUUGAUGCUGGAUAGCUAGUAAUUAGCGGCACUACUUAUUAUUAGUACAAGAAUUUAAUUGAUUAUUUGUGAGAACAACGUGCAAUUAUCUGUUUUGUGGGGAAAAAGGGCGGAGUUACACACUCCACAUUUCGCGACAAUUUUCUGGAAGUAACCGGAAGUAGCCAAUAUCUCAGGAAAUAGUAAUCCCAUAACAAAACGAGUAGGAUUUUCGUGAUCCUUAUCAAAUUAUGGGUUGGAAUGACAUGUUUUUAGCCAAAAGUCGGAUUUUACCUAGAUCACGAUUUUUCAUGAACAUUUUCGUGUUCAGGAAAAUUUGCGAUUUUUUAAUGCGAAAUGCAAAAAUAAAACGAAAACAAAGUGCCGAUUUUGUGUACAAAAAAGUCGGUAGAUGGCAGUGCACAUGUAGAUAGCAGUGCAUCUAAGGUUUUUUGGUCCCGAUCUAGUGGAAUUUACAUUCGUCUGAAAUGUGCCGUCGCCAUUGUGAACGAAGCAUGGGUCACUACAAAUCAUCUUCUGAUACGUUGUCCGGUUUUUAAAAAUCUUUUAUUACUUUAUUGAUUAUAGAAAACAUCUUGACAUUCACACGAAUGCCUUUGUCUUAUCUGAUCGUGUUAACAUGCUGAUUCGUUCUUGCCACUGGCCGAAGCCAUUUUGUCAAAUUUUGCAUCUUUCCUAAAUUUAAUCACACACAAGCAUUCUGGCAUGUGUCAGGCAACGGGUUACAGGAAUGGCAUGGUCCCCUUUUGGUGUUGAGCCUGGCCUACACCCUUGGUUAUUGAAAAUGGUGUUGGAACAAGUAAUUACAUGGAGCUGGAGCGUCAAUUUGGGACUUGAUUUGUCAUCUGUUGGUUGACGUGGGAAAACAGAGAUUGGACCCACCAUUUUAUUCCCACGCUUAUCAUUGGAAUUCUGGGAUGGUAGCUGUUGUUGCAGGACACUCCUUGGUUCGUUAGUGAGGUUCCAGAAAGCAGCAUUCCAAGAGCAAGAAUACAAUUUGCCGGCCGUCAACACAAUAUAGAUUGUUUAACUUUGUUUUCUUGCCUUGGUGGUGAAAUCGAAUUAUAUUGAGAUUAAAAAAUU